RNAcentral lists this transfer RNA (132 nucleotides) under Marmota monax (woodchuck). RNAcentral's name for it is "tRNA.Gly". Lineage: Eukaryota; Metazoa; Chordata; Mammalia; Rodentia; Sciuridae. The record is from RNAcentral.
GGGGCUGUAGCUCUGUGGUAGAGUAUUUGCCUACCAUGUGUAAAGCCCUGGAUUUGAUCCUCAACACACAUAAAAAUAAAUAAAUAAAAUAAAGGAGAAAGCAGGAGGAUUGCAAGUUCAAAGCCAGCCUCA